Long non-coding RNA from Solea senegalensis (Senegalese sole), 3450 nucleotides. RefSeq lists it as uncharacterized. The transcript is spliced from 2 exons. NCBI's taxonomy places the organism in Eukaryota, Metazoa, Chordata, Actinopteri, Pleuronectiformes, Soleidae. The record is from RefSeq and is a predicted model, not a curated record.
AUAAAAUGUGUAUUUACUACAUACAUUAAAACUGCAACACAAACAUUUGUUAGUGAAGCUAACACCUUAUUAAUCAUCCACAUAAUACAUGAAACAUAAAGCUGUUUCACUUUCCUCUCAGUUUACUGACAUCUUUGACAAUGUUUAAAUGUUCCUCAUCUCUUUAACUGUAACAUCAUCAUUAGGGCUGCAAUGACUAGUCGACUAGUUGACUAAGAGUUGACAAAAUUAGUCGACGGGUUGUUAGUGAUGUCAUCAUGUGUAUCCCACAGCAUGCAAUGCUACGCUCCACAAUGUUUCACCAUAGCCUAUUGUAGUAGUAGCUCAAAGUGACUUUUCCCAAAUCUUUGAUGCACUGACAAGUGACAACACAUGCACACUAGUGACCGGGAACAGAAUGGGAAGCAUCAGCAUGGAGGCGGCUGAAGUGAGCAUUUCGUAUGUGACGCAACUAAGAAAACUGUCACAUGCAAAAUAUGUAAGCUCGGGCUGUCAAAUGUAUAUUCAGACGUGGGAUUAAAAGUUUGCAUUCAAACUGUUACUACGUGUUCAAAUGUGAUAUAUGCAGGGCACAUCACAUGAAGUGACGGUCAGCAGCAGUGCAAACCGUGAAGAUAACUUGCGGCACAAUGCUGCUGCGCACUGCAGCUGUCCGCUUCCGUGUAGAAGCAAGUAACCAUCUCGUAGUGAGAUGUGUCGUAAAAAACACACAGUACUGGCCGCUUCUCUGUUCAAACUUAUUUUGGAAAAAAACUGACAGCCCUCAUGUAACUGAACCUCAUGUACCAUGGUCCCUCUUCAGCAAUGCACAGACAUUUAUAGAGGAAACACGUUUUUGGAUGAUUGGUAAAAUAAUUAGCUUUUUCUUUUUGUGCAGCUCAUAAUCUGACUAGCUGACUAGUAGUCAAUGACUUGAAAUAGUCAUUAGUUGCAGCCCUAAUCACUCUCAGUGUCAAAAAUGUGCUUCCCUUUUUGUUUCUCCACAUGGGCCCUUUUUGCAUUCUUGUCCCCUCAUUUCAAAUUUGCCUAACCCACUGAACUCUGUUCUGCUGCUGCUGUGGACUGGUAGGUUGUCUCCUGUGCUUUUGCUUACUCUUAAGACUCUAUUCUUGAGAGGAGUUGUCUUUUUACAUCCAGGCUGGAUACAAAGUUGUCACAAGAGUCAACUGUCAGAUGUCGCAUAUCUUCCUGAGACGUGAUCAGUUGUGCAAAACAAACCCCAUAUGGAGAGCUGCACUGCAUAAUCAAUCAUCCAUUUCUGGUUCCACAUCUCAAAUAAUUUCUGUCUUUUUAAUCAGCCAAUGCUCUCAAUAUACAAUAUUCAUGAUUGCUAACAUCAGUUGCUCUUGUGUGAAGUUUGCUCAGUCAUUCAUGUAGAUCCUUUCAAGCAUUUCUUUCAACCGCCCACCAUUGCCUGUUGGUCAGAAGUACUUAUUUCAACAACGUCCUGAUGAUUCUAAAUUGAUUAAAUAUCAUUUAAUGAAGAAGACAGCCCCUCGUAGCUAUUCAGGAUGAGUGAUGUACCUGUGACAUGUUGCUGUCUUGACUCCACGUUUGAUUCCACCAGGUUGACUCAGGAUUGUGACUCGAGUAACCUAAGACACAAUGGAUCAUGGAGACUGAGGAACAAUACAAAAAAGUCUAUCACUCUACUCUGUCCAUACACACUGCGGUGUGUGAUCAACUCAGUCAUUCCCUCUCUCACAAGUCUGGGCCGAUGCCUAAGUUCUAAACAGACCAACCUGUGUGUCAGGAAAAGUGUCCUUACACACAAUGAGAGGGACAGAACGAACACAAAAUGCUCAAACUACGCAAAACAGUACAGAGAGGUGCUUUUUGUCUAUGGGGAUAGGAGAGUUUCUCAAUAUUCUCCUAACUCUCCACUCUCGGUCAGUCGUUCAGCAGAAAAACGGAUCGAUAAAGAGUUGAAGCUCUCCGUUCCAAGUGACUCCUCGUAAAUGGGUACUUAAACUUUUUUUUUUUGUGGGGUGAGAUGGAAGAUGCCAAAAGGGCUUGGUGUUUAAAGUGAGAAAAUGAAAGCUGUGCUUCCUAAUGUCCUGUCUAAGUGGAUGUCUCUGUGUCUGAUGAAGCGUGAAGUGCUCUGUAACCCUAACAAAAUGACUAUCACUGUGUUCCUGUGGUUCUUAACUGGUCUUCUCCUCAGCACCACUUGCUCUACCUCCAUCCUGCUCAGUGCUCGAGUUAAACGCAUUCUCUUACUGAUUUCUCAUCAUGCUGUCAUGUAGAAACUUAAUUCUUUUAUAAUAGCCAAUAGUCACAGUGGAUGGCAUUUUGAUGCAGAAUAAACAAUCACUGUGUCCAAAUUAAAUGUGGUUUAUUCUGCCUACAAAUAAAUGUGAGCCACAGUUCUUGUGCUGAGUGCCGUGUGCCAAGGCUUUUCUCUGUAUUUCUGCUGCAUUCAGUUUAGUGUUUACCUUCUCAUCUAUCUUCUAUAGAGUGCAGUACCUGAAACAAUACAACAUGGAAAGACGAGGGAUGAAUCUUUUUGUAAAGGAAUUUUAGGUCAUGGUCACUGCACGAUAAAGUUUUCAAAUGUGCAUCUUUAUUAUUGGUAUGACUGACGAAACUUAGUCUAAUAAAUGUUGAAUGAGUUGUUGAAGAAAUUGGUUAAAUACCACAUUUUAUAAAGACCUGUGAGUUUAAUGUCAUUGUACCAUAUACCUUUUUUUUAUGUGACAGUAAAUUGAACAGUCUUCUGAAAGUGUGUUUUCCAAUGGAUCUUAUUUCCAACUCUGCAUUUUGUAAACAUUUGUUAAACCUUAUUGAUUAAGCGUCCCCUUUGAUCCAGUUCUCUGUUUUAUUAGUAAUCUAACUACAGCUGCAUGAAUCAUUAAUGUAUAAACUGGUGUUUGGUUAUCACUUGGCUGCAAAUGUUAAGAGAUGCAAAAUCAAUGCCUUAAUUCAACAUUUGCAUUUCUAAUAUUGGCAUUUUCCAAACCUUUUCUCUCUUGAGUCCAAGGCCACAGCCCCAAACAGAACAUGGGUGGAGAAAAGAGAAUCCGCUCACGUGUCGAAACAUUUGCAGAAAUUCACUUAUUGCGUGGUUAAAAGGGGAACAUUCAUUUAAAAGAGUGAUUUUUAAAAAAAAGCCUUGAUGCUUCCUUGUACCAUAACUGAAACUCAAGUCAUUUUUUGCCCAUCAGAGUCUGUGAACACAAAUAAACAACAUUUGUGUUUGAGUAACGUGAAAACAAACUUAUUGCCCUUAUGAAAAUGACCCUAAAAGGAGAAGCCCGAAAGAAGAUUAGGCUUUCAAUGAUUUGAUGCACGUUAUAUUUCCAUAUCAUGACUUCCCCCUUUUUAAAGGGUUUGGAGGGUGGCAAAGUGUUUUGGAUUGGCUUGUUUUUACAGACUGGAAGAUGCAAUUAUGGCUUCAAAACUGCUUGAAAAGUGAAUUCUGCACAGCUUUGCAAUAAAACAUUGAAGAGA